This 194-nucleotide unclassified non-coding RNA is filed under the name soil metagenome. Its description in RNAcentral is "partial contains 5.8S ribosomal RNA, internal transcribed spacer 2, and large subunit ribosomal RNA". The record is from RNAcentral.
AACGCACGAGACCUGCGGACCUGCGGAAGGAUCAUUAUUCAGGUCCCCGCCACACCGGCGGACCCCCCACCCCCGUAAUCGGUAUGGUUGUUGCCCUAGUGGAUCUAGUCUAGACCAGUAGGGGUUUUAAAUCCUAUCAUGAGAAGGUCGUCGGAGCGUAUUGAAAAUGCGAAAACUUUCAGCAAUGGAUCUCU